ACUAGCCUGCCCUCGAAGCNUUGAUUAAGUUGAUCAUGGCUCAGACUGAACGCUUACGGUAGGCCUAACACAUGCAGUCGAACGGCAGCACAGAGGAGCUUGCUCCUUGGGUGGCGAGUGGCGGACGGGUGAGGAAUACAUCGGAAUCUACUCUGUCGUGGGGGAUAACGUAGGGAAACUUACGCUAAUACCGCAUACGACCUACGGGUGAAAGCAGGGGAUCUUCGGACCUUGCGCGAUUGAAUGAGCCGAUGUCGGAUUAGCUAGUUGGCGGGGUAAAGGCCCACCAAGGCGACGAUCCGUAGCUGGUCUGAGAGGAUGAUCAGCCACACUGGAACUGAGACACGGUCCAGACUCCUACGGGAGGCAGCAGUGGGGAAUAUUGGACAAUGGGCGCAAGCCUGAUCCAGCCAUACCGCGUGGGUGAAGAAGGCCUUCGGGUUGUAAAGCCCUUUUUGUUGNGGAAAGAAAUCCAGCUGGCUAAAUACCCGGUUGGGAUGACGGUACCCAAAGGAAUAAUGGCACCGGCUAACUUCGUGCCAGCCAGCCGCCGGUAAUACG
Molecule: ribosomal RNA, 561 nt
Filed under: uncultured bacterium
Lineage: Bacteria
Description: bacterial SSU rRNA
Rfam family: Bacterial small subunit ribosomal RNA
Source: RNAcentral